CACAUUUUUAAGACGAUGUUUGUCAGUCUAAUCUCCAGUCGAUGGGCUCUCAGGCAGUAUAACAAAUGAGCUGAAAAUGUUUUCAGUGCAAUACGGGAAAGUAUUCUUAGGGCAAAUCCAGACUGAGGGUCAGGGCAGCCUGGGGAAUGUCCCAAAGGUCAGAUUCCCGAAGUUGUUCCUGACAUUCCAAGCUGCUGCCUUUUCUGUGGCAUUGGUUCAGAAUGUAUUUGCGAAGGUUCUAAUUCUUCUCAUAGUGACAGCUUUGGCAAGGGUGGGUGGAGCUGGUAGGUUUAAGUGCAGGUGGGUUUAUGUAAUCCAGGGAUUAUGUACAUAAUAGAAGUAUGAACUGCUGGAGUGUAAGGGCCGUUUGAGGCAAGCCAGCCUGGGGCCCUCUCCUUAUCAGUGAAAAUAUUAAUUGCCUGCAAUUAGAGAUGAUAUUUCACAUUCACUCAGCAUAAAUUAUUUCAUCAAAUACAUACUCUUUGAUCCUGUAGGUGGAUAAAAUAAAUACUGCUUCUCAUCCUGCCAGAGAGCUUAUUACCUCCUUGACAACAGCCACGUCUGCUCUUUCACAGGGAUACCGGCUCCUUGAUGGUGCUCCUCCAUCUAACUUUGUUUAAUUUAACGCCAAUGAGGACCAGGUGUGAUUUGAAACAUCCUUCCAACCCCUGAAAGGGUGACAUACAUUCCAUUUGGCCCAGGACAGUCUCCAUAUGUGCCUACUGAACGAAGGUGGUAAUUAACAAGGCCUCCUUCACUCUCCGAAGGGACCUGACUGGGAGAUAAACUCAGAGAUCACUGAUUUGUAAUCCUCAAGGAGGACGGAGACAACGCCCAGGUGGCCAUGGGCACCCUUGAAAGACCGCCUAGUUUGAAACUACACGAAGGAGACUCUUUCUUUUCGUUCCUACCCAGCGCUCAAUAGCUGUGUGACCUUGGCAAGUGAUCGUCCCUGAGCCUCCAUCCCUGUCUUUAAAGUGGAGAUAAGGAUGCCAGUCUCAGAAACUGUUCUGAGGAUUAAAUACCCAGAGCCUGGUGCCUGGAGCCUGGACCCCGGAGCCCGGAGCCUGGCGUGGGCUAAGUGGUCCUGAAGUGGAAGUGAGUUUUUGUUUGUGGCUCUUUGUUCUUUCCCCUGUGGGUCCACGGUGGUUGGCUGAAUAAAUUAGAUUCUCCCCUGCCCCAGACUCUCAAGUCAUUAAAGCUCUUCAUUGAUCA
RNAcentral lists this long non-coding RNA (1215 nucleotides) under Homo sapiens (human). RNAcentral describes it as "HSALNT0391806". The record is from RNAcentral. Lineage: Eukaryota; Metazoa; Chordata; Mammalia; Primates; Hominidae.